Molecule: ribosomal RNA, 562 nt
Filed under: aquatic bacterium STS_R2A_16
Lineage: Bacteria; Pseudomonadati; Pseudomonadota; Alphaproteobacteria
Description: bacterial SSU rRNA
Rfam family: Bacterial small subunit ribosomal RNA
Source: RNAcentral
CCUACGGGAGGCAGCAGUGGGGAAUAUUGGACAAUGGGCGAAAGCUGAUCCAGCAAUGCCGCGUGAGUGAUGAAGGCCUUAGGGUUGUAAAGCUCUUUUACCCGGGAUGAUAAUGACAGUACCGGGAGAAUAAGCCCCGGCUAACUCCGUGCCAGCAGCCGCGGUAAUACGGAGGGGGCUAGCGUUGUUCGGAAUUACUGGGCGUAAAGCGCACGUAGGCGGCUUUGUAAGUUAGAGGUGAAAGCCCAGAGCUCAACUCUGGAACUGCCUUUAAGACUGCAUCGCUUGAAUCAUGGAGAGGUUAGUGGAAUUCCGAGUGUAGAGGUGAAAUUCGUAGAUAUUCGGAAGAACACCAGUGGCGAAGGCGACUAACUGGACAUGUAUUGACGCUGAGGUGCGAAAGCGUGGGGAGCAAGCAGGAUUAGAUACCCUGGUAGUCCACGCCGUAAACGAUGAUAACUAGCUGUCAGGGCUCUUGGAGCUUUGGUGGCGCAGCUAACGCGUUAAGUUAUCCGCCUGGGGAGUACGGCCGCAAGGUUAAAACUCAAAGGAAUUGACGGGG